AUCCAGCUGACGAGUUCCAAAUAGGACGAAAUGCGCGUCCUAGAU
Molecule: non-coding RNA, 45 nt
Filed under: Schistosoma margrebowiei
Lineage: Eukaryota; Metazoa; Platyhelminthes; Trematoda; Strigeidida; Schistosomatidae
Source: RNAcentral